RNAcentral lists this transfer RNA (73 nucleotides) under Chloroflexota bacterium. RNAcentral describes it as "Chloroflexi bacterium (soil metagenome) tRNA-Arg". It matches the Rfam family "tRNA". Rfam says of the family: Transfer RNA (tRNA) molecules are approximately 80 nucleotides in length. Their secondary structure includes four short double-helical elements and three loops (D, anti-codon, and T loops). Further hydrogen bonds mediate the characteristic L-shaped molecular structure. tRNAs have two regions of fundamental functional importance: the anti-codon, which is responsible for specific mRNA codon recognition, and the 3' end, to which the tRNAs corresponding amino acid is attached (by aminoacyl-tRNA synthetases). tRNAs cope with the degeneracy of the genetic code in two manners: having more than one tRNA (with a specific anti-codon) for a particular amino acid; and 'wobble' base-pairing, i.e. permitting non-standard base-pairing at the 3rd anti-codon position. The record is from RNAcentral. Lineage: Bacteria; Bacillati; Chloroflexota.
GGGCCGUUAGCUCAGCGGAUAGAGCAGCUACCUUCUAAGUAGCGGGUCGAAGGUUCGAUUCCUUCACGGCCUA